UGCGUAGGCGGGUUUCUAAGUCAGAGGUGAAAGCCUGGAGCUCAACUCCAGAACUGCCUUUGAUACUGGAAGUCUUGAGUAUGGCAGAGGUGAGUGGAACUGCGAGUGUAGAGGUGAAAUUCGUAGAUAUUCGCAAGAACACCAGUGGCGAAGGCGGCUCACUGGGCCAUUACUGACGCUGAGGCACGAAAGCGUGGGAGCAAACA
Molecule: ribosomal RNA, 206 nt
Filed under: uncultured bacterium
Lineage: Bacteria
Description: partial 16S ribosomal RNA
Rfam family: Bacterial small subunit ribosomal RNA
Source: RNAcentral